CCAGGAAGACACAAGCUUUGUUUCCAGAGGAUGCAUCAAGUACAGCUAAGAGUGGAAGUAUGUGACUGGGAUGCCUCAUCCACUCACAGCUGCUGACAAAGGCAGAGAGUCCCAGACCCAGCCUCCAGGCAGCAGCUUCACCUUCCUGCCUGAACAGUCCUUUGCUCUGAGGAUGAGAAAAAAGUUUGUGAUCAGGAAGCUUGCAACAUUCAGAGACUCCUCACCGCAGCUACCCUACAAAGAGAGGAAGGACCCUUUAGGCUUUCAGGAGAGUUAAUUGCUUACCUUGACCUCCAACACAGAUCUACACUGAUAAAGUUUAUUGACUUCCUACACUUCACCUUUUAUUAAUUGCCCCAUCUGCUUGCGCGAGUCAGUUUGCUCAUCACCAUGUUUCUACUUGCAAUUGAGUUUCUGUUGCAGGAUAGCUGAGACAGUAGUUACUGACUUAGCAGCUACCAACCUCUGCAGCAUAAUGUCGCUGCAUGACUCAGAGCAGGUGAGUAGUAAGUCCAGCAAUAGAGUUCAGUCCCUUCUCAGCACUUGUGUGUAUCACACUGCUGCUGUAACUACACACAGCACCCAGUUGGAUUCCCUGGCAGCAUCUAGGGAAGGGUACAAUGCCAGGAACUGAACCUUUGGGAGGGUCUAAACCUGCCCUGCUAAGAUGCUUGUAAACUGAAGGGUGUUUCUUUACAACUCCCAUGCCCCAGGGGACUGCGGCAACCAGGCGGGAGGUCAGACGUCUGUGGAGCUGCACCUGGGAACGGAGGACAUCUUCCAGGAGUGCGGUGGAGGAAACAGCCACUCAACUAGCAAAGAAAACUCUUCAUACAGGAGGAAGCAAGAAAAGAUUAUGCACAGCGUGCUGUGAAAUGCCUGCAAGACACACACAGGGAAUAUAAACAAUUUCCUCCUAAUGUUUUCCAGCAACAAGGAUCUUAGGGAUUACUUGUAACAACAGCAGCUUUAAAAAACAAAGACUAAACAAAACCAGGAAAAAGUAUGGUUUUAAGACAACUAUCCUUUUUAAGAGGAGGAAGGGUUUGUUUUGGUUUUUUUCUCUUUUUUAAGAGAGAUUAUCAGGCCUUAAGUGCAGGUUAUAUAUCUGUUCUCUUCAUGACUUCUGUCUACAGGAGUUAACGGGGUCAAGUGUCUGUAUGUGACAGUUUUGAUGCAUGGGGAAACAAUAAGCAAAUUUAUGAUGGUGGGCUAUAAUGAUUACAGGCACUGUAGACGUGCAAACAUGUUAAUUUUGGAUUCAUGAGUUGUUUUGUUGCCGAGGGAUUCCAUCAAGGGUCUCGGUAACAACUAUGAGGUGUUUGUCGUAUGUAGCUUCUCCAGUAUUUGGUAAUCCUAGUCUUUAACUUGACAGUGGUGGUGGUUACAGCUCUCAAAGCUUUGCAGAUAUCAGCUCCAAGCAGCCAUGUGUGCAUGGUACCACUGCAAUUGCUACCGAGACGUUUGGACCUGGACCACUGUAAAGCCUGAACACAGGUCCCUUUACUCUCAUUUACACUCAGCCAUGCCUAGGAAGAAGCUCUGAAGCUGCCCUAGCAGCAUAAAGCAUUCAACAGCUUUUGACACGCGAAAAAUCAUCAGCUGAAGCGAGGUAACGUAAAGCUGCAAAGAGGGACAGGCCGCAGGAGCUUGCACUCGGAUUUACCCAGGACGCUUGCCCUAAGUUUCUGUCUCCCAUGAAACAGUUCAUGUUUUUUCACCUGAAAGGAAUGACUUCCUCUGGCAACACCUCUCUUUGUGCUGUCCUGACCCCAAAUGGCCUCUGAGCCCCAGAAACGCUCCGGGACAGGGAGGGACGUUUCAGGGCCACUUACUGAAACGCGGAGCACCACCAAGCCCACGUACCUGGGGAAUGCAGGCAGGCCUCGGCGCAUUGGUGUUAAUGGCGCAGGCCCAGAUCCCCGCCGUCGUAGGUGACAUCAUAAAGUGCCGGUUCUUCUGCUGAGCUCAAAAUGCCGGGUCAAGAUGGCAGUGCUGGCUCGAGAGCUUUUCUCCUCCCUCUUCCCCUCGCCCCCUCAUGUAGACAGACGACACUGUCUCUUCUUUUCUUCCAGGUGCUUCAUAGCCCUAGUCCGCGGCGGGAGGUGGGAAAUAGAGCAAGAAUAAAGUUUCAUAAAUUCCUUUGCACAAAUAAAACAGAAGGACCUGAUGAUAGGGCAGAAGGGGAAGGGAAAAGCACUGAAUUUUUAGGAAUUAAAUCUGGUGCCAGCCCACAAAGGAGAAAAAUCCCACUGCCUCCCAGGGCACAGUACACUGUGUUAGCAACUGCAGAGACACACUUAUGGGCUUUGCUCUCCAGGGAGCUUUGUGAACAUUUAGUUGCAUUUGUAGGAGUGCAGAGUAUUUUAUAUAGCGGGCUAUUCUUUUGGGGAUGCAGGUGACUGUUGCGAUGCAGAUCCUUAUCCUUAUUCUAAAACCAGCAUUGGUAAAUGAUAACCGGAAAAAUAUCUGAAUGUCCUCUCUGCUUCUGGAGCUGCAGUUAGGAGCAGUUCAGAUGUCCAGUAACAGCUGCAAAUGAUGAUAAAUGGGUGAUGUGAAGCUCUGCAUUAUCAUUCAAGCUGAAUGCCCAGUGUAUUUUCUGUAACACACAUGUUGCUCUAUAAUGGAAGAGGUUUCUGAGAAAGACACAUUUUUACCACUUCUGGACACAAAGGAAUAACAAACUAUAAAAAUACCAAUUUUAGUACUGAGCGUUUACAUGUAAGUGUAUAUCUUUCAGAACCUGUGAGUACACUUGACUCGCCACAAUAUUGCAAGUUGCAUUUGCAUGGCAAACCUCAAACCUGGCAAACAAUAUCAUCUAAAUAUCAGUGUGUUACUCUAGGCCUAAUUGCCAUCUCCUAGGUGUGUGUAUUUACCUGCUGCAAUAUGAUUGUCAAAUUGUGAUAAAAUGCAACUACAUGUGAAAUAGGGGCAUUCUGGAGGGAUGAUUUUGGCAUUCCCCACUGAGAAGAAUUAUUGUGGGGUUUUUGGAGAUUUUUUCUCUUGACUCUUUCUGCUUCAAGUCUUCUUCAGAGGAAAGGAUCCUUCUGAGCUGUUAGACAUACCAAAUCACCAGUAUGACUGGAUAGGACUGACAAGAGUUUUCCCUGUAUUACCUUAUUUGAUAAUCUAUGUUUUGUGUUUAAUGUAAUGUUUGUAUGCUUAUCAUAAUAAAACAUUACAUUUAA
Long non-coding RNA from Aquila chrysaetos chrysaetos, 3191 nucleotides. RefSeq lists it as uncharacterized. Lineage: Eukaryota; Metazoa; Chordata; Aves; Accipitriformes; Accipitridae. The transcript has 2 exons. The record is from RefSeq and is a predicted model, not a curated record.